AUGACACCUAACUAUCGGGACAGGCUUGUGAGACACUGUCGCUGCCACCAUAGAGAAGGGGACACUGAGGGCUGGCGAGGCCGCGUGGCCGUGCUAGAAGGGGAAGCUGAGGCCUGGCGAGGCCGCGUGGCCGUUACAGAAGGGGACACUGAGGAUUGGGAAGGCCAAGAGGUCGUUAAAGAUGGGCAAACUGAGGCUUGGCGAGGUCACGUGGCCAUUAUAGAUGGGGAAACCGAGACUUGGCGAGGUCAAGUGAUCGUCACCAAAGUGGAAACUGACGAUUGGGAAGGUCAAGAGGAAACUGAGGAUUGUCAAGUGAUCGUCACCGAAGAGGAAACUGACGAUUGGGAAGGUCAAGAGGAAACUGAGGAUUGGGAAGGUCACGUGGCCGUUACAGGGGGGGAAACUGAGGCUUGGGAAGGUCACGUGGCCGUUACAGAAGGGGAAACUGAGGCGUGGAGCGGUCAAGUGGCUGUUACAGAAGGGGAAACUGAGGCUUGGCAAGGUCAAGUGGCCGUUACAGAAGGGGAAACUGAGGCUUGGCGAGGUCAAGUGGCCGUUACAGAAGGGGAAACUGAGGCUUGGGAAGGUCACGUGGCCGUUACAGAAGGGGAAACUGAGGCGUGGAGCGGUCAAGUAGCCGUUACAGAAGGAGAAACUGAGGCUUGGAGAGGUCAAGUGGCCGUUACAGAAGGGGAAACUGAGGCUUGGCGAGGUCACGUGGCCGUUACAGAAGGGGAAACUGAGGCGUGGAGUGGUCAAGUAGCCGUUACAGAAGGGGAAACUGAGGCUUGGCAAGGUCACGUGGCCGUUACAGAAGGGGAAACUGAGGCGUGGAGCCGUCAAGUGGCCGUUACAGAAGGGGAAACUGAGGCGUGGAGCGGUCAAGUAGCCGUUACAGAAGGGGAAACUGAGGCUUGGCGAGGUCACGUAGCCACUUCAGAAGCAGAAACAGAGGCUUGGCAAGGUCACGUGUCCAUCACAGAAGGGGAAACUGAGGCUUGGCGAGGUAAAGUACCUACUUCAGAAGCAGAAACAAAGGCUUGGCGAGGUAAAGUAGCCACUUCAGAAGCAGAAACAGAGGCUUGGCAAGGUCACGUGUCUGUUAUAGAAGGGGAAACAGGCUUGUCGAGGUCAAGUAGCCAUUACAGAAGGGGAAACUGAGGCUGGAUAAGAUUGAAAUUCAUCUAAUUUAAGUGUCUGAGGUAGGAUUGGGUCCAGAACUUCCUGAUUAAGUCAUGAUGCCUCUUCAGAAAAGAAAGCGCACCCUGAUGUAGGCUCUCUGGGUACCCAGUGCCCCUCAUGGCAGAAGCGUCAUCAGCUAGAGCAGAGGGGCCUCUCUGCCACCUCCACCCAGAUGCUUGGGAGAAAGGGGCUCUUAGUCUUAGGACUGACAGAGUCACUGCUGACUGGCCUGUGAGGAACUACGGGUGGUCUGAGCUCAGCAGAUCCAGUGGCCUCCAUGGGCAUCACCAAGUUAUGAUGUGGCAACAAAGAGCUGGACAGCAAGCCCAACAAAAAAGGGCCCUUUCCCAACCCCUGAGCCUCCAUGGGUCAGUCCCGGCUCCAGGAAGAGCGUCAGAAAUGCUCACUGGGCAUCUCGGAGAGCUGGAGAACCAGCUGAAUGAGGUGAGAUGAAGAAAAAGAGAGAGGAGAGGGAAUUAAUAACCUAUUCAGAACAUGGCACACUAAACGAUAUCAAACAAAGUAUGGUAGCCAUCCUGGUCUUUGUUCUAAGGACCAACAUUUGCUGGGAUGGGAGGGGGAGGAGGAGAAAAGGACAAGGAAAUAAAUAUUUCCUAAGUGCCUACUAUGUGCCAGGCGCUUUGCUGCAAGCUUUGGUAAAUAACUUCAUUUGAUCCUCACAACAACAAGCCUGUGAGGUGGGUGAGGAAAGCAGAAGUUUAGGUGAUUUGCCCAGUGUCCCAGAUUUAGUAAGUGAGGUCAAAUUUGAACUUCGGGUCAGGGCUCUGUCCAGUUCACCACUUAGCUGCUGAGGUGUAUAGAAGGUAUGGCUGAUGCCAACUUUAUCUCUGAGAGCCCUUGAGGCAGGCAGGGCUAGGGCACAUGGGUGGAGAAGGGGGAACAGUGUUGUUGGCUUACAUGGUAUCCCCUUGUAAAGGUGAGCUCUUUAAGAGAGGGGACUCAAGAUGCUCCAACAUAGCCUAGAGAUCAAAGGAGCUAGACUGGAUUGAGUGGGGAAACAACAGAAAGCUUCCUAGCAUUUGUAUUGCCCCUCACUGUUUACUGUGCACUUUUACAUCCAUUAUCUCAACUGAACCUCAAAAUAGCCACAGGAAGCAUGUAGGAAGGCAGAGCAAGGAUAAGUUUCAUCAUCUUGAAGAUGAGAAUAUAAAGAUACUAAGAGUUUCAACAGUAACACAAAUACUAAGGCUCAGAACCAGGGCCAGAACUUCUCACACUUAGGUCUGGACUCCUCACUACGCCACACUUUCCCAUUCCCUCUUGGGAUAUUUUCUCUCAUAUAUACCCUCUUAGUUAUCCUUAAUCCUUAUUGGGUCUUUCCUCAAUUAAACUUGAGACCAGUUAAAAAUCUUUGCUUAAAAAAAGAUCUCACUUGAUCCAAGGCCUUCUCCAGUCCUGAUCAAUCUCUGACCACUGGGCUCAGAUGGCUCUGGAGGAGAAAGUGAGGCUGGUGCCUUUGCACAGCCCUCACUCAAUUAAAUCCAAUUCACUUGCAUGUCAACGGCAUCACCUCCCUGAUGUUAUGGUUCUCUUCAAGAAUCAAGGACAAGACAAUAUCCUAGAAUCUCUCACCCCGCCCAUAUUAUCCCAGCACCCCUAUAGCUUUCAUCCUUUAUCCACUCUCACUUUUUUUCUUUGGGGGGAGGGGAUGGGGCAAUUGGGGUUAAGUGACUUGCCUAGGGUCACACAGCUAGGAAGCAUUAAGUGUCUGAGGCCAAAUUUGAACUCAAGUCCUCCUGACUUCAGGGCUGGUGCUCUGUCCACUGCGCCACCUCUAAGUUCUGGUAACUAGUAAGUGUCUGAGGCUCAGUUUAAACCCAGGUCCUCCUGCCUCCAAGGCCACUGCUCUAUCUCCUGCUCCAUCGAGCCGCCCCCCUCUCACUUUCUUAGCCUCUCCUUGGCUUGGUUCCAGUUUGCCAUUGCUCCACUCAGAGGUCGUUGCCUUCCUUUCCUAUCAGGAUCCUAGGGGAGUAGACUCUCUCCUUCCAAAUGAGCCAUUUGUAUCUAGAGGAUAAGAGCAGUCUUACCUCAGGCCACCUUCUCACUUUUUUCCUUCCCCCUACAAAAGACACACAGAUGUGUGUGUGUUCAUAGGCCCAAGUACACACGUGUGGAUGUACCCAUACGCAUAUGUAUUAGACACAACAGACCGACAAGCACACUGUUCCGCUUCUCCCGCUCCCUGCUCUGUCCAUCUAUCCCGCCGCCACCAGCAGAUAUUCUCACUCGUGUAAUUCCACACCGACCCCGGCUCUCCUGCUCAGUACCCCAACUUCCCUGCUACAGCACUGAUGCUUUGCCCGCAGGCAGGACUGUACUAAAGGGCCACCAGGGUUAGAGCUGGAGUCCCAGAUUUACUGUAUCCCCUUUCUUCUUUAUCUGUCCAUCUCUCAUCUUGUGUGUGCGCAUGUGCAUACACAUAUUUAUCAUAUCUAUAUAUACAUAGACAUAGUUUCUGUUUCUCUUUUGAUCUUUUUCCAAGUCAAGAUCUCUGUCUCUUAUUCUGUUUCUGUGUUUUUCUGUCUUUUGUCUUUUUUUUUCUCUUUACUGCUGUGCUGUCUUUUACCAUUUAUCUCCAUUUGUCUGUGUCUCUCUCUGUCUGUCUCUCUCUCUGUGUGUCUCUCUCUCCUUUUCUCUCUGUCUCUCCCUCCCUCCCCCUUCCUUUCUCUCUCUGUCUCUCUCCUUUUCUCUUUCUCUAUGUCUCCUUCCCUCUGUCUCUCCUCUGUCUCUUUGUCUCUUUCCCUUUCUUUUUUUUCCUUUCUUUUUCUCUUUCCCUCUCUCUGUCUCUCUCUUUCCCUUUUUUCCUCUCCUUUUCUCUUUCCCUCCCUCUUUAUCUGUCUGUCUCCAUCUCUAUGUCUGUUUCUCUCUCCCUACUUGUCUCUCUUUCCCUCUCUGUCUCUAUCUCUGUGUCUCUCUCCUAUAUCCUGUCUCUCUCUCUCUCCUUUUUCUCUUUUCUUAUCUCUCUCCCUCCCUCCUCUGCUCUUUCUCUCUCCCAUUGUGUCUCUGUCUCUCCCCCCUCCUCUCUCGUGUUUUCUUUGUCUCUGCAUCUCUCCACUCUCACUUCCUCUGCAGAUUCCUGUUAGUACAUUGAGAAUCUGAUCCAGCCCAUCCCUGGUCUCAGGGUAUAAAUAGCAGGAAAAAAAGCUGGGCUUGGAGCCAGAUUAUUUGCCAGCAUCUUUCUUGCAGUCCUAGGGCCUUGAGCAAUCAAGAUUAGGAGUAGGAAAAGCACAUAUAGAACAGAAACUUCAAGGGGCUAAGAACUAAACCUUAGACACCUGGAACUCUGAAGAGUCUGAAGAGAUCCAUGAAGGGGUUGAGAGCUAUUCCCUGACCUGAGAGGUGGAAGAGGGGGGAGGAGGAGGGGAGAACAUCUGAGGCAAUCAGGACAGAGCACAAACAAGGGCCAUGCUGCAAAUGGGGCCAAGGAGUUCCAAUACCAAGGUGAGCAGCCUCCACCCCCAAGAAGUGCAAGUACACUCUCUCUCUGAUCCAGCUCUGGAAUGCCCAGUUCUCCCAGUAACAGGAUUUGGAUGGCUAUUUGUCCCCUCCCAAUAAAGCAAAGGGGGCCCUAGGGAAUCCGUGUUUUGAGACCUUCCCAAAGGAUCCAGGAGAGAACCCCUGACCUUCUCUCCUCCACCCCCAACCAGGAACCUCGAGCCAGCUGCCAGAGCCCAGGUGGCUGCCAAAAGCAGUGGAGGGUUGGCGUAGGGGAAGCUGUGCCUUCAGGAAAGAGACUCCAUUCCCAAUAGAGUCUUACCCAAGCCAGCUCCCCAGCUUAAUUAGAUACUGGAACUGGCAUUGAUCUGUCCCUGAGCUCAUUAUGUCACAGCUGGAGAACAUCUGGCCAGUAUUUUUCCAGGCCAUUAGCUGUUUUCCGGGGUGGAGGGGGGGAGUGGGGUGUGGGAGAGCACAGGAAUCAAUAUUGUGUCUGGCUGAGCUGGUCCAGGAAAGGAGCUGCUGGGGCCGCCUCCUUCAGUACUUCUGGCUCUGCAAUCAUAGGAGCUGGAAUCCUUCAGCUCAGACACAGAAGCUCCCUUCCAUCCCUGCCAGGAGACUGGCUUCCCGUGGCCCCGAUUUAUGUUUCCUCUGAGAUUUCUCUCCAUAUAGAAGGAGAGAGGCCUGGGGUCAGUGAGUUCAUCCUGGAAUCUUCAAGCAGAAUCCUUAAGAAUCCAACUUGCUACUUCCCAACAACUUCCCAAACAGUUGUCCCUGUUGGCUAGAAGCUCUCCUUUCUCCAUGCUGGGACCAAGUCGAGUUUCUUAGUGAGUUUCAUAAGAACCGCUCAGAUCCUUGGGGGGAAAAGAUAAGUACCCAUACUUGCAGACAAGCAUUCAGCUCCUGGAGGGGAUGCUGCUGAUCGGGAGCUGUCCUGGGGCUGCAGAUCCUCAAGAACAUUACACUCCAAGGGUGGCUGAGGUUCCUUUUAUUCAAGUAGGGUUUUGUUUUUGUUUUUUAGUUCCUAUUCAGUUUUAGAGCUGGCCUGUUUCUAUAUGUCACAGAUUCCUUCUUCUUCAGGGUUUCACAUGUAAACUUCAGUUUAAUCCUAGAGAUUGUGGGAGAGACUGUAUUUUUGUAAGAACAGACUUGCUAAACUUUACCUCUGUCCUAGCCCUGCCCGAGUCUCCCUUAGUGGUGUCACAAACAACAAUUCCCCAAAAGUCCUGGAUCCUCCAACUUUGCCCAUCCUGCCAAGCAAGUCAUUAACUCUACCACCAUCACUCCUCUCCUCCCCCAUCCCCAGAUGCUACAAGAACUUUACAUAAUAAUUUUAACUCAGAAUAGCAAUCUGCCC
Sarcophilus harrisii (Tasmanian devil) is the source of this 5998-nucleotide long non-coding RNA. NCBI's taxonomy places the organism in Eukaryota, Metazoa, Chordata, Mammalia, Dasyuromorphia, Dasyuridae. The record is from Ensembl.